GCUAGGAAGAGGAAGUAAGAGAGGGCGUAAGAGCAGUGGGAAUGAGAACAUAGAGGAAAUCCUAACUUUACUGGUUCUUUACCUCUUUUCUUGAGGUGGAAAUUCAGUUUGACAUUUCUCGAUGACUCUCAUUCCUAUUGUUAUUAGGCGCUCCUUCCUAUUCCUUUUUGUU
Triticum aestivum (bread wheat) is the source of this 172-nucleotide non-coding RNA. NCBI's taxonomy places the organism in Eukaryota, Viridiplantae, Streptophyta, Magnoliopsida, Poales, Poaceae. The record is from Rfam.